Molecule: long non-coding RNA, 1841 nt
Organism: Triticum dicoccoides
Lineage: Eukaryota; Viridiplantae; Streptophyta; Magnoliopsida; Poales; Poaceae
Exons: 2
Source: RefSeq, a predicted model, not a curated record
AGCGCGACGCCGCCGCCCUGCUCCCUCCUCCAGUGCGCCGCCGCCGCCCGGCUCCCUCCCCCAGCGCGCCGCCGAUCGGCCCCUCCCCAAGCGAGCUGCGGACUGCCCCAUCUACCCUAGCGUGCCACCACUGGCCCCCUCACCCAGCGCAUCGUCGAGCGCCCCCUGGAUGGCGCAACUCUAGCUGCACCAUCAUGGUGGAGGCGCGGCGCCGUCUUUGAGAUGCUCCAUCAGUUGCUCCUCCUCCUCCUGUUAUGCACAAGCUCCAAUUCGUCGAGAUACUCCAUGGAGGUACUCCAUUUUAUGUUUUCAAUUCAUCUUAUAAAAAAUCAGAACAAACUAUGUGUCAUUUUUGUCAUUCACGCAAGUUCAGGCAUACCUUCUGCAAAAGUUCAAGAAUCUGAAGAAACGAAGCUCAAACCAAGUUCAGAAACUGUUUCUGGAUUAAAUUAGUUGUUUUGGCUAAUUCUAUAGUACAUGUGUGUAUUGUGAUUAUAAUUGUGGCUUUGGAGUUGAGAAAAAGAUAACAAAAAGGUACAUAAAUGAACCCAAAAACAUUUGGUAGUUUUUGGAAGCCCAAAGUUCAGUUCAACAUGUUUUCUAUUAUCAACUCGUUAAGAACCCCAGAAACGGUUCAAUGUGUGUGUUAAAAAAAAUAGCUGGCUAUAUAAAAAAAUUAGUAGCUAGGCAAAAAGAAGUUUGUAUCAGUUCAGACUUGCCUGCACAGAAGGAUAGAGGCCCUUGUCCUGUAUGUUUAGGUUUGCAUCAAUGCUCCAGCCAACUCCAUUAUCUACUCAGGAAAUGCUCCACUGCUAAAUCCAUUUGAAGUUUUGUCAGGUUUGGUGACUCCUCUCCCUUUCCCUUUUCAUGUAAUGCAUUUAGGACAAGUUCAAGUAUAGGUAAAGAAGAUUCUCACCACAUAAAUAUUGAUCUAGAGCUCUUCAGUUUGACAGUUUUUCAGUUCGUGUGGAGCUUGUCAAUUCGACAAUUUUUCAUUUCGUGCGGAGCUAGUCAUUGUUUUAGGUUGAGUCUAGCUGUACUGAAUGCUUGCACUUCUCUGAACUGAGAGUACGCUUGAGUUUCCUAUUCAUUCUAAUCUUAAUAGGUUAUCUUGAUAGGAGUCUAGUGUUAGUUACUAAAUUCUAGUCAGAGUAGUGUAAUCAAAGGAAUGUAGAUAACUUGUGUCCUGGUAUCACUUGUACAAUUGCGUUGUUGUGUUGCACACUUGUACUCACAUAUUAUUAUGUUGCGAUACUAGUUCUGAACAUUUUGUUAUGUAUGUCACAUGCAGGUUUCUCCCCAUUCUUCUCGUCUAAAUACUAUGCCUUUCAUACCUUUAUAUAUAAAAAAAAGCUCAGUCUGAAACUACAUUUUUGCCCAGAGCCUUGACCUAGGACAUUCUGAAUAAAACUUCAAAGAAGUCUGAAAUGCACUGUAGUAUAUAAAGCCUUGUUCAUCAUUGGAUUCUGAUACUAGAAUCUAGAGUAAGAAAUCAAUAUUGUAAUAUGUAGGCGCAAGAACAUAACUCCCUACUUGAAAUGGUUCUACACCAGUAGUAGAACUUACUGGUUCUCCGUGACCUAAAGUUGAAAACAGACAAAAAUUCUCAAGAAUUGAGGCUUCGCCAAGGAACAAGACUGGUAACUAGCGCAAAGGAGAAUAUGUCGAGAGGUGGCACUGCUAGACUUGCUGAUGUGUAGUUAUGGCUUAAAAAAGAUGAAAAAAUUGUAUCUUGUAUGAUUCCAUAAGCUGUACAUAGCAAAUCUUCCCAUGUGGAUCAGUACAACUUAUGUACGGCCUUGAGUUCACAAAUCUUAUAGUAAUCUUUGUAGUACUUUUCG